GAUUUACGGUUUGGGUUUAGGAUUUACCGUUUGGACUUAUGGUUAAAGUUUUGGGUUUAGGGUAUAUAAUUUGGGUUUAAGGUUUACGGUUUGGGUUUAGGGUUUAGGACUUGGGUUUAGGGUAUAGAGUUUAGGUUUAUAGUCUAGUUUUUGGGUUUAGAGUAUAUAAUUAGGGUUUAGGAUCUAUGAUUAGGGUUUAGGGUAUAGGAUUUGGGUUUAGGGGUUUGGAUUUGGGUUUAGAAUUUAGGGUAUAGGGUUUAGAAUUUAAGAUUUAGGGUUUAGGUGGAAGCGUUAACGUCGUUAAAAUUAGCGUUUUUAUUUUUGUAG
This 327-nucleotide long non-coding RNA is filed under the name Brassica napus (rape). RNAcentral's name for it is "long non-coding RNA (BNAP_LNC008549)". The record is from RNAcentral. Lineage: Eukaryota; Viridiplantae; Streptophyta; Magnoliopsida; Brassicales; Brassicaceae.